GCACAUGAACUUCUAAAGAGUUCACUCUAAAGAAGGCUAAGCAUGUACACCAUAGCAACCCCACUCCUACAAACCUAAAAACUACAGACCAGGAACACAUCUGACCGCUCCAUGCCUUUUAAUCUAUCUUCCAUGAGGACUCCCAUGGCUUUUUGACACCAUCAAGCAUGAUGCUUACUGUACCUCCCAGAACUACAUGCCUGAAAUCCACAGUUAAAUCCAAUAUCAACAUUCUGGUUUUAAGCUAGGACCCAAUGGGAUAAACAUUGCACAGUACAUUAACACAUGAAAAAUAAAGAUUGUGUUACUAGCUAUCUCAGGCCUUGCUCACAAUUUCAGCAUUUAUUUCCCGGUCCUUUCAAGAACUAAACAAAAGUUGAAAACCGAGGUCAAGGCUUCCUUUCAAUCCCAACUACUAAGCUAGAAACAUUUCUAAAAAGGGCAAGCUACGCCCCUCUUCUAGAUAUAUCAAAAUAGUAUGGAAUUUGUUCAAACAUAACAAUACUAACUAUUAAGCUUAACCAUGGCUAGAUAAUAUUGCAGAAAUAAACAAAUGAUUUACCAUGGUCAGCUACACAGUUGCCCAAAAUCUGUGUCUGCUGGACAUCUAGGCCAUGGGCACCAUCCUAUGCCUUGCAGUUAUGGUGGAGAGGGGUGUAGGCAAGGAAGUCCCUGUGAUGCAAGUGAGGAAAGCCGGUGAUGGUGCACGUGAGGAACCUACUUGCUGCUGCGAGAGUUGCUGCCACACACCUUUCCUGCAUAAGAACCACACCAGCCACUGUGCCAACCUUGCCUCCGCCGCUAGACAAUACUGUAGUAAGUUCAGUAAAUGACACGAGUUCAGUAAAAUAGCCUAGAUGUAAACAAGAUAUUUGUUAUAUGGAUGGGCACAAUUGCACUUGAUCGUACCAUAGAACACACAAAUAUGAAUGGUUAGGAUUUAGGAAACAAAACCAUAAAGUUCAGACAGUAAGGCAGACCUGACAACAAGUAGCGAUGCAUGGAUGACAUAUGCUCCUCGCUUGGCACAUGUUCUGUAGCUGACCUUUCCUUGGCAUGGCCACCAGCCUUGUAUAGACGCACGCAGGCCAUUGACUGAUAGCCUCUGAUAUCACCCAACCGCAGGAGAUUGCCUAUCAUUGAGCAAAAAGAUAGUAAAAAAGUACAGACACAUUUAGCAAAUAAAUAAAGAUUUGUCUUGGCAACGCUCGAGUAAUCAGAAAGGGAUAUUGCAAAAUGCAGAAGCUUCAUGUUUUGGCGUCACUUAUUUUGGUAGGGCUAUAUUGUAGGUGUAGAGUAAUUAGAUCCAAAGAUUACAAUAACUAGUUGUAUUACAAAUUUCUAAUGCAACUGCUCCUUCUAAUCUACCUGUGCCAUUUCAUAGGUGCAGUAUCGGAUGAAUUCAAGCCAUAAGAUAAGAAAAAAGAUUGCAACAAAGCUCACUCACCUACUUGUACAUGAAAGCAUGCAUAUAAUCAGGUUUCUAAGCUAACCCAGUAACUGUAGAGUUGUCUUUUUAGCCUUCCCGUCUAAGAGCUGUUCAGCCUUAUAAUUU
RNAcentral lists this long non-coding RNA (1555 nucleotides) under Sorghum bicolor (sorghum). RNAcentral describes it as "long non-coding RNA (SBIC_LNC018293)". The record is from RNAcentral. Lineage: Eukaryota; Viridiplantae; Streptophyta; Magnoliopsida; Poales; Poaceae.